RNAcentral lists this ribosomal RNA (497 nucleotides) under uncultured bacterium. Its description in RNAcentral is "partial 16S ribosomal RNA". It matches the Rfam family "Bacterial small subunit ribosomal RNA", at positions 30 to 523 of the family's 1533-position model. The record is from RNAcentral.
AUUGAACGCUGGGGCAUGCCUUACACAUGCAAGUCGAACGGCAACAGGUCUUCGGAUGCUGACGAGUGGCGAACGGGUGAGUAAUACAUCGGAACGUGCCUAGUAGUGGGGGAUAACUACUCGAAAGAGUGGCUAAUACCGCAUGAGAUCUACGGAUGAAAGCAGGGGAUCGCAAGACCUUGUGCUACUAGAGCGGCCGAUGGCAGAUUAGGUAGUUGGUGGGAUAAAAGCUUACCAAGCCGACGAUCUGUAGCUGGUCUGAGAGGACGAUCAGCCACACUGGGACUGAGACACGGCCCAGACUCCUACGGGAGGCAGCAGUGGGGAAUUUUGGACAAUGGGCGCAAGCCUGAUCCAGCAAUGCCGCGUGCAGGAUGAAGGCCUUCGGGUUGUAAACUGCUUUUGUACGGAACGAAAAGCCCCGGGUUAAUACCCUGGGGUCAUGACGGUACCGUAAGAAUAAGCACCGGCUAACUACGUGCCAGCCGCCGCAGUAA